This 503-nucleotide ribosomal RNA is filed under the name uncultured bacterium. RNAcentral's name for it is "bacterial SSU rRNA". It matches the Rfam family "Bacterial small subunit ribosomal RNA", at positions 28 to 507 of the family's 1533-position model. The record is from RNAcentral.
AACGAACGUUGGCGGCGUGGAUUAGGCAUGCAAGUCGAACGCGAACGUCGGGCUUCGGCCUGGCUAGUAGAGUGGCGAACGGGUGAGUAACGCGUGGGUAAUCUACCCUCGAGUGGGGAAUAACCUCUCUAACGAGUGGCUAAUACCGCAUACGAUCGCACUUCCGCAUGGGAGAGCGAUGAAAGGUGGGGAUCUUCGGACCUGCCGCUCGAGGAGGAGCCCGCGUCCCAUUAGCUUGUUGGUGGGGUAAUGGCCCACCAAGGCAACGAUGGGUAGCCGAUCUGAGAGGAUGACCGGCCACACUGGGACUGAGAUACGGCCCAGACUCCUACGGGAGGCAGCAGUCGGGAGGCUUCGGCAAUGGGGGAAACCCUGACCGAGCGACGCCGCGUGCGGGAUGAAGGCCCUCGGGUUGUAAACCGCUGUCAGGAGGGAAGAAUCCCCGCGGGUUAAUACCCCGAGGGUUGACGGUACCUCCAGAGGAAGCUCCGGCUAACUCCGUG